AGAGUUUGAUCCUGGCUCAGGAUGAACGCUGGCGGCGUGGAUAAGGCAUGCAAGUCAUACGGGACGUAAAGUUUUGCGCAAGCAAAAUUGUACGUUCAGUGGCGAACCGGUUAGUAACACGUGGGUACUUACCCUAUACACGGGCAUAACCAGUCGGAAGAUUGGCUAAUUCCCGAUAGUCCCCGGCCCGCAAGGGCAUAGGGGUAAAGGAGCAAUCCGGUAUAGGAAAGGCCCGCGGCCUAUCAGCUAGUUGGUAAGGUAAUGGCCUACCAAGGCGAUGACGGGUAGGGGAGAUGAGAGUCUGUUCCCCAACAAGGACACUGCGACAUGGGUCCUACUCCUACGGGAGGCAGCAGUCGAGAAUAUUGGUCAAUAGGGGAAACCCUGAACCAGCGACGCCGCGUGCAGGAAGAAAGGCUUCGGUCUGUAAACUGCUUUUCUGGAGGAUGACUCCCGCAAGGGAAGACAGUACUCCAGGAAUAAGGGGGUGCCAAUUCUGUGCCAGCAGCCGCGGUAAGACAGAACCCCCAAGCGUUAUCCGGAUUUAUUGGGCGUAAAGGGUCCGUAGGCGCCCCACCAAGUUUUCUGUUAAACCUCCUGGGCUCAACCUAGGAGCUGCAGAAAAAACUGGCGGGGUAGAGGGCAUUAGAGGUGGAUGGAACGGUCGGUGUAGGGGUGAAAUCCGUUGAUAUCGACCGGAACACCAAAGGCGAAGGCAUUCCACUGGGGUGGCCCUGACGCUGAGGGACGAUAGCGUGGGGAGCAAAAAGGAUUAGAUACCCUGGUAGUCC
This 791-nucleotide ribosomal RNA is filed under the name uncultured bacterium. RNAcentral describes it as "bacterial SSU rRNA". It matches the Rfam family "Bacterial small subunit ribosomal RNA", at positions 8 to 796 of the family's 1533-position model. The record is from RNAcentral.